UAACGUAGGGUGCGAGCGUUGUCCGGAAUUGAUUGGGUGCGUAAAGGGCUCGUAGGCGGCUUGUCGCGUCGACUGUGAAAUCUCAGGGCUCAACUCUGACAUUGCAGUCGAGUACGGGCAGGCUAGAGUUCGGUAGGGGAGACUGGAAUUCCUGGUGUAGCGGUGAAAUGCGCAGAUAUCAGGAGGAACACCGGUGGCGAAGGCGGUUCUCUGGGCCUGUACUGACGCUGAGGAGCGAAAGUGUGGGGAGGCGAAACAGG
RNAcentral lists this ribosomal RNA (260 nucleotides) under uncultured bacterium. RNAcentral describes it as "partial 16S ribosomal RNA". It matches the Rfam family "Bacterial small subunit ribosomal RNA", at positions 523 to 776 of the family's 1533-position model. The record is from RNAcentral.